UACGGAGGGUGCGAGCGUUGUCCGGAAUCACUGGGCGUAAAGGGCGCGUAGGCGGUGGCUUAAGCGUGUGGUGAAAGUCCGGGGCUCAACCCCGGAUCGGCCGUGCGAACUGGGUCACUUGAGCACUGUAGAGGCAGGUGGAAUUCCGGGUGUAGCGGUGGAAUGCGUAGAGAUCGGGAAGAACAUCGGUGGCGAAGGCGGCCUGCUGGGCUGUUGCUGACGCUGAGGCGCGACAGCGUGGGGAGCAAACAGG
This 253-nucleotide ribosomal RNA is filed under the name uncultured bacterium. RNAcentral's name for it is "partial 16S ribosomal RNA". It matches the Rfam family "Bacterial small subunit ribosomal RNA", at positions 524 to 776 of the family's 1533-position model. The record is from RNAcentral.